Molecule: ribosomal RNA, 451 nt
Filed under: uncultured bacterium
Lineage: Bacteria
Description: partial 16S ribosomal RNA
Rfam family: Bacterial small subunit ribosomal RNA
Source: RNAcentral
GACGAACGCUGGCGGCAGGCUUAACACAUGCAAGUCGAACGGUUGUAGCAAUACAGCAGUGGCGCACGGGUGAGUAACGCGUGGGAAUAUACCGAGAAGUGGGGAAUAACUCCGGGAAACUGGAGAUAAUACCGCAUACGCCCGAGAGGGGAAAGAUUUAUCGCUUUUCGAUUAGCCCGCGUGAGAUUAGGUAGUUGGUGGGGUAAUGGCCUACCAAGCCGACGAUCUCUAGCUGGUCUGAGAGGAUGAUCAGCCACACUGGAACUGAGACACGGUCCAGACUCCUACGGGAGGCAGCAGUGGGGAAUAUUGGACAAUGGGCGAAAGCCUGAUCCAGCCAUGCCGCGUGAAUGAUGAAGGCCUUAGGGUUGUAAAGUUCUUUCGCCGAUGAAGAUAAUGACGGUAGUCGGAGAAGAAGCCCCGGCUAACUUCGUGCCAGCCGCCGCAGUAA